This 214-nucleotide long non-coding RNA is filed under the name Lathyrus oleraceus (garden pea). RNAcentral describes it as "Pisum sativum (pea) long non-coding RNA (PSAT_LNC040682)". Lineage: Eukaryota; Viridiplantae; Streptophyta; Magnoliopsida; Fabales; Fabaceae. The record is from RNAcentral.
UUUUUGCCUGGACUUUCUUCUUUUGUCCAGCGGGUCAGUUUAUGCGAAGUAUUUUUUGACUACAUCUGAAUUCACAGGAGACGAAAAAUCUUCACCAUCCAUAGUUGUAAGCAUCAAGGCUCCACCAGAAAAGACCUUUUUAACAACAUAUGGACCUUCAUAAUUCGGAGUCCACUUGCCCCUGUUAUCUGUACCGGGAGGAAGGAUCCUCUUC